AAGUCGUAACAAGGUUUCCGUAGGUGAACCUGCGGAAGGAUCAUUAUUGUGGAGCUACGGCUCCUUCGAGGGAGAACCCUUGCCUUUUCGAGCACCUGUUUGUUUCCUCGGCAGGCCCGCCUGCCAAUGAGGACCUCUUAAACUCUUGCAAUAAACCUGAACACAAAUUGUCUGAAUAAAAAAAUCUAAAUCAAAACUUUCAACAACGGAUCUCUUGGUUCUG
Molecule: unclassified non-coding RNA, 223 nt
Filed under: Westerdykella dispersa
Lineage: Eukaryota; Fungi; Ascomycota; Dothideomycetes; Pleosporales; Sporormiaceae
Description: partial internal transcribed spacer region
Rfam family: Eukaryotic small subunit ribosomal RNA (bases 1-46)
Source: RNAcentral